This 403-nucleotide transfer-messenger RNA is filed under the name Patescibacteria group. Its description in RNAcentral is "GWB1-38-13 sp000993025 Standard tmRNA". It matches the Rfam family "transfer-messenger RNA". Rfam says of the family: Bacterial tmRNA, also known as 10Sa RNA or SsrA, is named for its dual tRNA and mRNA-like properties. Its role is to liberate the mRNA from a stalled ribosome. The record is from RNAcentral.
GGGGAUGAUCGGUUUCGACGGAUAGCACCUUUACAAUCUGCAAGCAAAGUUUGAUAGAUACUUUUCAAAACUAUCAAAAAACAAAAGCUGAUGACGAAAGUUACAGCCCAGCAGUAGCUUUUAGAGCAAUGUUUGGUGACGGAAACUCCGUUCAACCGAAUUUUGCACUAGCUUAAACUGGUGUCGUUCUGUCUGCUUCUCUAUCGGACGGAUUCGGCAUAAACCCAUAGAGAUACACCAGUGAUCAGUGAUUAGUGAUUGCUGAUUGGAAAAUUUACUAAUCUUACUUUAUACCGUCCUUCCAAUAGGUAAGGAGUAAAGGAAAUAAAAAGAUUGGAUAAGCUUGUAGAUGAUUGUAAAUAAUGCUUUUCGGACGAGGGUUCAAUUCCCUCCAUCUCCACCA